UACGAAGGGGGCUAGCGUUGUUCGGAAUCACUGGGCGUAAAGCGCACGUAGGUGGAUUGUUAAGUCAGAGGUGAAAUGCCAGGGCUCAACCUUGGAACUGCCUUUGAUACUGGCAAUCUCGAGUCCGGGAGAGGUGAGUGGAACUGCGAGUGUAGAGGUGAAAUUCGUAGAUAUUCGCAAGAACACCAGUGGCGAAGGCGGCUCACUGGCCCGGUACUGACACUGAGAUGCGAAAGCGUGGGGAGCAACAGG
This 252-nucleotide ribosomal RNA is filed under the name uncultured bacterium. RNAcentral's name for it is "partial 16S ribosomal RNA". It matches the Rfam family "Bacterial small subunit ribosomal RNA", at positions 524 to 775 of the family's 1533-position model. The record is from RNAcentral.